RNAcentral lists this ribosomal RNA (253 nucleotides) under uncultured bacterium. Its description in RNAcentral is "partial 16S ribosomal RNA". It matches the Rfam family "Bacterial small subunit ribosomal RNA", at positions 524 to 776 of the family's 1533-position model. The record is from RNAcentral.
UACGGAGGGUGCAAGCGUUAAUCGGAAUUACUGGGCGUAAAGCGUGCGUAGGUGGUUAAUUAAGUUAUCUGUGAAAUCCCUGGGCUUAACCUGGGCAGGUCAGAUGAUACUGGUUGACUCGAGUAUGGGAGAGGGUAGUGGAAUUUCCGGUGUAGCGGUGAAAUGCGUAGAGAUCGGAAGGAACACCAGUGGCGAAGGCGGCUACCUGGCCUAAUACUGACAAUGAGGCACGAAAGCGUGGGGAGCAAACAGG